GGGAGGCGGGGCCUCCCGCCUUAAUGCAGCCGCCUAUAGGUGCUGGUCGCAAGCCCAGAAAAAUGCAGAGCGGGGU
This 76-nucleotide non-coding RNA is filed under the name unclassified sequences. The record is from RNAcentral.